RNAcentral lists this transfer RNA (69 nucleotides) under Nippostrongylus brasiliensis. It matches the Rfam family "tRNA". From Rfam's summary of the family: Transfer RNA (tRNA) molecules are approximately 80 nucleotides in length. Their secondary structure includes four short double-helical elements and three loops (D, anti-codon, and T loops). The record is from Rfam by way of RNAcentral. Lineage: Eukaryota; Metazoa; Nematoda; Chromadorea; Rhabditida; Heligmosomidae.
GGCCCUGUGGCCUAAUGGAUAAGGCGUCUCCUAAACCGAAGAUUCAAGGUUCGAGUCCUUGCUGGGUCG